UUAGUAGCUACCAGUUAAGACUAAUGAACUUCUUUAUCUCAUUUCAGCAGAUGAUCCCAUAUUCUCCUCUUCAGUGAUAGACACCAAGUAAUUGUUGUCAGAAUUCCUGGCAGAGCAAUUGGCACGAAUUUCCCCUUGAUUCCCUGUCAGCACGUCCAAUUGCCCCAUCUUGAUCAUGGAAAGCACGAAUUCUUCAAAGAACAAUGUUUCAUUGAUAGCAAAGCUA
This 226-nucleotide unclassified non-coding RNA is filed under the name Hevea brasiliensis (rubber tree). Lineage: Eukaryota; Viridiplantae; Streptophyta; Magnoliopsida; Malpighiales; Euphorbiaceae. The record is from RNAcentral.